RNAcentral lists this transfer RNA (73 nucleotides) under bacterium. Its description in RNAcentral is "tRNA-Lys". It matches the Rfam family "tRNA". From Rfam's summary of the family: Transfer RNA (tRNA) molecules are approximately 80 nucleotides in length. The record is from RNAcentral.
GGGCCGUUAGCUCAGUUGGUAGAGCAAUCGCCUCUUAAGCGAAUGGUCAUAGGUUCAAAUCCUGUACGGCCCA